This 146-nucleotide unclassified non-coding RNA is filed under the name plant metagenome. RNAcentral's name for it is "partial contains small subunit ribosomal RNA and internal transcribed spacer 1". The stretch from base 1 to 46 matches the Rfam family "Eukaryotic small subunit ribosomal RNA", at positions 1786 to 1831 of the family's 1831-position model. The record is from RNAcentral.
AAGUCGUAACAGGGUUUCCGUAGGUGAACCUGCGGAAGGAUCAUUAUUGAUUUGGCUCCGGCCUAUACCUUUCUACCCUCUGACUGACCCGUGGCCCUUUACGGCUUUUUAACAUGUGUGACGACGUAGAAAUGAUAAUAAAUAAA